Molecule: non-coding RNA, 305 nt
Organism: Notechis scutatus (mainland tiger snake)
Lineage: Eukaryota; Metazoa; Chordata; Lepidosauria; Squamata; Elapidae
Source: RefSeq, a predicted model, not a curated record
GGGCGAGCGCGCACUUUCAGCAUGCAACGUGGAAAAGUAUAAAGCUUCCUGAGUGACCUUUGGCCAGUUAUUAUCCAUAGUUUCACUGAGAAAUUGUGAGGAUUGCUGGAGAAAUGGUUGUUGAAGAUGACAGAACUAGUGGAAAUGGCAAAAUUAACUUGUUUGAUUAAUGAAUGAUUAACAGGAACAACAUUUUAAAAGGAAUAUUACUAAUAGACUCAAAUAUGCUCAAUAGAAAUUAGUCUACGCUGCAUCAUAGAACCUCUUCUUGACAUUGCUCAACAACCAAGAUAGUUUUCUCAGAU